CAACUCCAUUUAUUUUUGAUAAUGCUCAUGUUGAUUUGAGUUCCUAAUUUCAAACUUCCCUUACAGUUUUAAAGGUCCCUGAUCCUCUGCAACCAUGAUCAAAUUGAAAGCCACCAGCGGCGUCCCGGUAAAGUAAUAGAACUUCCCUGCGACUAUCCCACCCACAUUCAAUGCUGGACUGACUGGUUUGACAGAGAUGACCCCACUGUAACUGGAGACUGGGAAACCUUCUCCGAUCUUUACAACGACAACCCUGGAAAGAUCUGCCCUGAACCACAGGGUAUAGAGGCCAC
Molecule: long non-coding RNA, 293 nt
Organism: Gymnodraco acuticeps
Lineage: Eukaryota; Metazoa; Chordata; Actinopteri; Perciformes; Bathydraconidae
Exons: 4
Source: RefSeq, a predicted model, not a curated record